This 503-nucleotide ribosomal RNA is filed under the name uncultured bacterium. RNAcentral's name for it is "partial 16S ribosomal RNA". It matches the Rfam family "Bacterial small subunit ribosomal RNA", at positions 29 to 523 of the family's 1533-position model. The record is from RNAcentral.
AACGAACGCUGGCGGCGUGUUUAAGACAUGCAAGUCGCACGGGAUCAUUUUGGUAGCAAUACUCGAAUGGUUUAGUGGCGCACGGGUGAGUAACAUGUGAAUGACAUGCCCUAUAGUGGGGAAUAGCCCAGGGAAACUUGGAUUAAUACCCCACGGUCUCGCUAGAGUAAAGGUGGCCGCAAGGCUGUCGCUAUAGGAUUGGUUCGCACCCUAUCAGCGUGUUGGUGAGGUAACGGCUCACCAAGGCUACGACGGGUACCUGGUCUGAGAGGACGAUCAGGCACACUGGAACUGAGACACGGUCCAGACACCUACGGGUGGCAGCAGUCGAGAAUAAUUCACAAUGGGGGCAACCCUGAUGGUGCAACGCCGCGUGGAGGAUGAAGGUCUUCGGAUUGUAAACUCCUGUCAUCUGGGAGUAAGACCUGGCCGUGAAUAGCGGACAGGGUUGAUAGUACCAGAAGAGGAAGGGACGGCUAACUUCGUGCCAGCAGCCGCGGUAA